RNAcentral lists this ribosomal RNA (471 nucleotides) under uncultured bacterium. RNAcentral describes it as "bacterial SSU rRNA". It matches the Rfam family "Bacterial small subunit ribosomal RNA", at positions 8 to 526 of the family's 1533-position model. The record is from RNAcentral.
AGGGUUUGAUCAUGGCUCAGAACGAACGCUGGCGGCAUGCCUAACACAUGCAAGUCGAACGCUAUCUUUGAUAGAGUGGCGCACGGGUGAGUAACGCGUGGGAACCUGCCUUUCUCUGCGGGACAACGGUUGGAAACGACCGCUAAUACCGCAUACGCCCUACGGGGGAAAGGUCAGCCGGAGAAAGAGGGGCCCGCGUUCGAUUAGCUAGUUGGUAGGGUAAAAGCCUACCAAGGCGACGAUCGAUAGCUGGUCUGAGAGGAUGAUCAGCCACACUGGGACUGAGACACGGCCCAGACUCCUACGGGAGGCAGCAGUGGGGAAUAUUGGACAAUGGGGGCAACCCUGAUCCAGCAAUGCCGCGUGUGUGAUGAAGGCCUUAGGGUUGUAAAGCACUUUCACUGGUGAAGAUGAUGACGGUAGCCAGAGAAGAAGCCCCGGCUAACUUCGUGCCAGCAGCCGCGGUAAUAC